This is a long non-coding RNA of Vulpes vulpes (red fox), 1880 nucleotides long. The record is from Ensembl. NCBI's taxonomy places the organism in Eukaryota, Metazoa, Chordata, Mammalia, Carnivora, Canidae.
UGGGAACCCAGAGAGAGGAAUGAGGGUGGGAAAGCCUGAGACAAAUGUGGGACAAAUGGCCAGAAUGGUGGGAAGAAAACCAGGAGCUCGGGACAGAGGAGGAGAAUGUUCCAGCAGGAGAGUGCCAAGGGUCUAGGAGCGAGACUGAGGAGGCCAGAGGUGGCAGGGCACAGGAGAUGGGGCCACUGAGGGACAAGUAGAGGACUCCCCCUCUCCCAAGCUUGGAUGCCAGAGCCUGGGUAGGCCGGCCACGGCAGCCGAUGGGGCCGUCACCGGGAGCAGAGCCCAGGAAGUUCGCGCUGACGAUUGGGAAGUCGUCCUAGGUGACAAAUUGGGCUCUGUGUUACCCUCAUGGUCCCAGUCCCUGAUAGCACCAACCGCUGUCCCCAGAGUGGGGGUACCGUGAAGAGAGGCUUUCACUGCUAGAAGACCAGUCUCAGGCCACUGCUCCAGGUUGGUGACAGCAGAGUCAAAUGGGACCCCAGAGUGGCCCGGGCUGCACCCCGAUGCUCAGGGCCCCCACAGGCCCUGUCCUUUGUCUCUGUGUCGAGGGCAUGAUGCUGGCAAUGGGAGAGGCAGGGGUGGGGCGGGGAGGGCCCAGCUGGCAGGUACUGAGCUCUCCGCACCUGCUGGUGUGGUGGCUCAGGUCCUUCUGUGCAUCCCUGCAGGAGGCGACAAGCCCUGAGAGCGCACUCACCAUGCCACUGAGGCACACGGUGACACAAGGAGAUGGCUCUGAGGACUGGUACCCGAUCGCCCGCAGGCAGAAGGAGUUGCCCCGGGGAGGGACUCAGGGACUCAUCACAGUCCCCCGCUGGAGGGACCUAUAUGGGGUCCGGGCUGCGUGCCUGACCCUGAGUGAGGGGCCGCGGCUGAGCCCUUGUCGCCCGAAGCCCGUCCUGCGCAGGCCUCGGGGCGCCCACCUGCUUCCGCACGGGCCUCCCCUCCCUGUCCCUCCCGACUCUGCCCAGGGCUGGCCCCGGAGGGCCGUGCUCACGCGCGCCGCACCUGCGCCCUCUCCUCUGGCGCUGGGUGCUCUGGGUGCACAUCAGUCACCGACGUGGGAAGCAGGUACUGCGGGCUGCCAGCCUAUGGUGAUUUCGCGGCCAAGACGCCUGACUUCGGAGCACCAGCAGGGCGGCCUGGCAGAGAAACGCGGGGUUCGCGCAGCAGGAGGGCCCACACACAGCCCGCUGGAUGCACCUGCGCAGCCUGUUUGGGCCGUUUGGCUCCACGCUGGACCCGGAGCCCCUAAGGCUGAAGGGCGGCUGACAGCACCAGCCUGGCUCUGCGGCUCCCGGGGCCUGCCUGGCAGAUGCACCUGCCAGCAGCUACCACCUGCAAGGCCCCGGGGCCAGAGCAGAGGGGGUCUUGGGGUGAGCAUCUGCGGACGCUGGAAGGGGCAAAGGACAAGGCAGGUAUGCCCGGCGGCUGGCAGCAGGCCCCCCGGGGGCUCACACAUCGUGCCUCGAAAGUGCAGCCAAGCUCAGGGGGCCCUGGGAGGUCACGAGGUCCUCCCCUCUCCCCAGCUCUACAGGUGAGGAAACUGAGGCACCAGAGACCAAGCUGCCCCUCUCCUGUGGUUUCCAGGAGAACUCAGGGGAAUUCGGCCCAGCUGCAGGCAGGAGCCGGGCCUCCCUUGGCUGCCCCCUCAUCCAUGGCGCUGCUGGCAUCCCGGCUCCGCGCCUCCCUCCGGAUGCCGUCUGGGCCUGGCGUCGCCUCGCUCUGGGCUCCCUGAGCAGAGACGCCGGAGGCCUGCCAGCAGCUGGCCCACAGCAGCCCGCAGCCUCAUGCUGCUUCUCUAUCCCGCGCCCCACGUGGGGGGCCAAGUCAGCUACCACUGACCUGGGAGCCCCCUGCGCCCCCUCCCUGCCUCCUCC